GCGCAGUUACUGAUCCUGUUGCUGGCUUUUUUAUUAGCAAAAGUAAAUGGACAAAAAUUGGCCGGCUUAUGCCUUGGAUGUUGGGGUGUACGCCCUUCACGAUUGUGUCCUAUUUCUUCAUGUGGUACUUGCCUCCUUUUGUAGCAGGAAGAGUCGUGUGGUACCUGACUUUCUAUUGUCUUUUCCAAGCAUUGACCACAUUAUUCCAAGUACCGUAUUCUGCUCUCACCAUGUUUCUCA
This 240-nucleotide long non-coding RNA is filed under the name Chelydra serpentina (North American snapping turtle). Its description in RNAcentral is "lncRNA (ENSCSRG00000010705.1)". The record is from RNAcentral. Lineage: Eukaryota; Metazoa; Chordata; Testudines; Chelydridae.